This 74-nucleotide transfer RNA is filed under the name Spirochaetes bacterium ADurb.Bin133. RNAcentral describes it as "tRNA-Ala". It matches the Rfam family "tRNA". Rfam says of the family: Transfer RNA (tRNA) molecules are approximately 80 nucleotides in length. Lineage: Bacteria; Pseudomonadati; Spirochaetota. The record is from RNAcentral. RNAcentral also lists the same sequence under 1 other name.
GGGGGUGUAGCUCAAUUGGCUAGAGCGUUUGAAUGGCAUUCAAAAGGCAGACAGUUCGAAUCUGUUCACCUCCA